GACGAACGCUGGCGGCGUGCUUAACACAUGCAAGUCGAGCGGUAAGGCCCUUUCGGGGGUACGACGAGCGGCGAACGGGUGAGUAACACGUGGGUGACCUCGCCCUCAGCUCUGGGACAAGCCGUCGGGAAACCGGGUACUAAUACUGGAUAUGACUCCAUGACGCAUGUUGGUGGGGUGGAAAGCCUUGUGCGGCUGAGGAUGGGCCCGCGGCCUAUCAGCUUGUUGGGUGGGGUGAGGCCCUACCAAGGCGACGACGGGUAGCCGGCCUGAGAGGGC
This 279-nucleotide ribosomal RNA is filed under the name uncultured bacterium. Its description in RNAcentral is "partial 16S ribosomal RNA". It matches the Rfam family "Bacterial small subunit ribosomal RNA", at positions 28 to 301 of the family's 1533-position model. The record is from RNAcentral.